GCCUGGCUCUUUGGCGAUGUGGUCAGCGCGAGUGACUCUCACCCAAGAGUCUGGGGUUCAAUCCCCCACCCAGGCC
Non-coding RNA from Gymnothorax javanicus (giant moray), 76 nucleotides. The record is from the annotation of a GenBank genome assembly. NCBI's taxonomy places the organism in Eukaryota, Metazoa, Chordata, Actinopteri, Anguilliformes, Muraenidae.